Molecule: transfer RNA, 72 nt
Filed under: Marmota monax (woodchuck)
Lineage: Eukaryota; Metazoa; Chordata; Mammalia; Rodentia; Sciuridae
Description: tRNA.Ala
Source: RNAcentral
GGGUAUGUAUCUCAGUGUUAGAGUACUUGCCUGGCAUGUAAUAGGCUCCGGUUCAGUACCAGAACUUGUUCU